Molecule: non-coding RNA, 286 nt
Organism: Pelobates cultripes (western spadefoot toad)
Lineage: Eukaryota; Metazoa; Chordata; Amphibia; Anura; Pelobatidae
Source: the annotation of a GenBank genome assembly
CUGGUCCUGUCCCGUCCCGAAUUCAGGAUAAUUCCCAUGGAUACUCUCCUCCUGGUCGCUAAAGGCCUGGAGUCGAUCCAAUUGCCCCAGCACAAGAAAUCCACUCCUUUAAUGUUUUCAUUACAUAACCCUGCAAUUACACCUGCCCCUGUUGGGUUCCCUGUUACCACACUACCGGGCCCUUUCAUGGCUCAGGUUCCAAGACCACAAGGUCGAACUUGUUUUCACUGUAAGCAACUAGGUCAUUUUAAGAAGGAUUGUCCAGGUUUUCCAGCACCUCGGCAGC